Molecule: ribosomal RNA, 1241 nt
Filed under: metagenome
Description: bacterial LSU rRNA
Rfam family: Bacterial large subunit ribosomal RNA
Source: RNAcentral
UGAAUACGAGAUGCUACGGCGUCGAAGCAGUCUAUGUCAUACUUCCAAGAAAAGCUCGCACUGUCAUAAACAAAUAAUGCCUGUACCAUAACCGACACAGGUGGGUAGGUAGAGUAUACUAAGGGGCGCGAGAUAACUCUCUCUAAGGAACUCGGCAAAAUGACUCCGUAACUUCGGGAGAAGGAGUGCCUUAUUUAUAAGGUUGCAAUAACAAGAUCCAAGCAACUGUUUAUCAAAAACACAGGUCUCCGCUAAGUCGUAAGACGAUGUAUGGGGGCUGACGCCUGCCCAGUGCCAGAAGGUUAAAGAAGUUGGUUAGCAUUCGCGAAGCUGAUAACUGAAGCCCUGGUGAACGGCGGCCGUAACUAUAACGGUCCUAAGGUAGCGAAAUUCCUUGUCGGGUAAGUUCCGACCCGCACGAAAGGCGUAAUGAUUUGGAUACUGUCUCGGAGAGGGGCUCGGUGAAAUAGACUUGUCUGUGAAGAUGCGGACUACCUGCACCAGGACAGAAAGACCCUAUGAAGCUUUACUGUAACUUGAGAUUGAAAUUGGACUUUACUUGCGCAGUAUAGGUGGGAGGCGUUGAUAAUAUUCUUGCGGGAUUAUUUGAGCCAUCAGUGAGAUACCACUCUUGUAAUGUUAGAUUUCUAACUUUGUAUCAUUAUCUGGUCAAAGGACAGUUUCAGGCGGGCAGUUUGACUGGGGCGGUCGCCUCCUAAACGGUAACGGAGGCGCACAAAGGUUUCCUCUGAACGGGUAGAAAUCGUAUCUAGAGUGUAAAGGCAUAAGGAAGCUUGACUGUGAGACCUACAAGUCGAGCAGGGACGAAAGUCGGUCUUAGUGAUCUGACGGUGCUGAGUGGAAAGGCCGUCACUCAACGGAUAAAAGUUACUCUAGGAUAACAGGCUGAUCUCCCCCAAGAGUUCACAUCGACGGGGAGGUUUGGCACCCCGAUGUCGGCUCAUCGCAUCCUGGGGCGGUAGUACGUCCCAAGGGUUGGGCUGUUCGCCCAUGAAAGCGGUACGCGAGCUGGGUUCAGAACGUCGUGAGACAGUUCGGUCCAUAUCCGGUGUAGGCGUUAGAAUAUUGAGAGGAGCCUUCUUUAGUACGAGAGGACCGAGAAGGACAUACCUCUGGUGUACCAGUUAUCGUGCCAACGGUAAACGCUGGGUAGCUAUGUAUGGAGUGGAUAACCGCUGAAAGCAUCUAAGUGGGAAGCCCACCUCAAGAUAAGUAUUCUC